UUGGUGGUUGACCACUCAUUAUGUAAACCACAUGUCCUAGGUUCAAUUCCCCUCCAUGUGAAGCUUAUUUCAUUAUUACUAAGGCCUAACCUAUCCCAAAUUGGAAUUCUACAAAGCAUUUAUAUAGUAUUUAUACCUUCACAUCACAAUAGAAAGUAAAUUACCACAUCAGGAAAUAAAUGAGCUUGGAAGGAAGUGAGAAAUGGGCCAAAAAACUUGAGGAAACCAAG
RNAcentral lists this long non-coding RNA (230 nucleotides) under Vitis vinifera (wine grape). RNAcentral's name for it is "long non-coding RNA (VVIN_LNC005414)". The record is from RNAcentral. Lineage: Eukaryota; Viridiplantae; Streptophyta; Magnoliopsida; Vitales; Vitaceae.